This 693-nucleotide ribosomal RNA is filed under the name Triticum aestivum (bread wheat). RNAcentral describes it as "partial small subunit ribosomal RNA". The record is from RNAcentral. Lineage: Eukaryota; Viridiplantae; Streptophyta; Magnoliopsida; Poales; Poaceae.
AUGUUGAGGGCCGUCAUCUGCCUACCAAGUGAGGAGGGAGUGGCCCCCAAGAUCGUCUCAAGUGAGAAAUUUACGGACCUCAGAUCGAUAGACGUGCAUCUCACACAACCCUGGAUUUUGGUGGGUCAUGGCAAGCUUCUUUCGAUGUGGGACUACAAGAGGCAGGAACCAGUGGUUGCAUUGGGUGUCGUGGGGGCAACGAUAGUUUAUUCGGUUAGGUUCAUCCCUCGACGUGAUUGGUUUGUAGCCGGGGAUGAUAAUGGAUACAUUCACGUGUACUUGUGUGUUACAUGGAAAGAAGUUAAGAGUUUCCAAGCUGGAGACGGUGGUAGCUCUGAUGUCACAUCACUGGCGAUUCACCCUACCAGCCCGUACCUACUAUCUGCGUGUACAGACGGCGUGGUCAAGCUGUGGGACUGGGACAGUGGCUGGGAAUGUAUUCGAACAGUUCACUCAACUGCAGGUUUGAUGCAAGUUAAGUUUAAUCCCAAGGACACCGACACCUUUACUAGUUGUUGCGCAAAGGGUACAAUGAGAAUGGAGAUCUGGUCCAUUUAUCCUUCCGAUGAGCCUAUCGCUGCAAUAGAACAAAAUUCGUCCAGCCUCUAUGAUCACGUUUUCACCGAGGGGGAUCAGAACCAUGUGGUUAUGCUCAUCCAUGGUCUGGGUCUACAGGAAAGUUUUGUUGUGUGA